GAUGAACGCUGGCGGCGUGCCUAACACAUGCCAGUCGAACGGCCAGACAAGAAGUUUCUCCUCUUGACGAUAGCGGCAGACGUGUGUGUCACGCGUGGAUCCCCUACCUGUAUCUCUGGGAUGCCUUCGAAACACCGGCGAUAAUACCAUAUAAUAUAUUGCACCGUGUGUAUCAUUUGUGAAAUACGUUUUUGCUGUCUCUACUCGCUGGCUCCUCGCUUCAUUAGCUGGUUGGUAAGGUAACGGCCUACCAAGGCGACCAUGCGUGGCCGAACUGAGAGGGUGAUAGGCCACACUGGAACUGAGACACGGACCAGACUCCUACGGGAGGCAGCAGUAGGGAAUGGUAGGCAAUGGUCGAAAGCCUGACAGAGCAAGCCCGCGUGAGUGAUGGAGGCCUUCGGAUAGUAAAGCCCUGUUUUUGGGGAAGAACAACUGUCUAAGGAAAUAAGGACGUAGUGACGGUACCUAAAGAAAAAGCACCGGCUAACUACGUG
This 497-nucleotide ribosomal RNA is filed under the name uncultured bacterium. Its description in RNAcentral is "partial 16S ribosomal RNA". It matches the Rfam family "Bacterial small subunit ribosomal RNA", at positions 28 to 507 of the family's 1533-position model. The record is from RNAcentral.